This 491-nucleotide ribosomal RNA is filed under the name uncultured bacterium. Its description in RNAcentral is "partial 16S ribosomal RNA". It matches the Rfam family "Bacterial small subunit ribosomal RNA", at positions 29 to 506 of the family's 1533-position model. The record is from RNAcentral.
AGUGAACGCUGGCGGUAGGCCUAACACAUGCAAGUCGAACGGCAGCACAGUAAGAGCUUGCUCUUACGGGUGGCGAGUGGCGGACGGGUGAGGAAUACAUCGGAAUCUACUUUUUCGUGGGGGAUAACGUAGGGAAACUUACGCUAAUACCGCAUACGACCUACGGGUGAAAGCAGGGGAUCUUCGGACCUUGCGCGAUUGAAUGAGCCGAUGUCGGAUUAGCUAGUUGGCGGGGUAAAGGCCCACCAAGGCGACGAUCCGUAGCUGGUCUGAGAGGAUGAUCAGCCACCCUGGACCUGAGACACGGUCCAGACUCCUACGGGAGGCAGCAGUGGGGAAUAUUGGCCAAUGGGCGCAAGCCUGAUCCAGCCAUACCGCGUGGGUGAAGAAGGCCUUCGGGUUGUAAAGCCCUUUUGUUGGGAAAGAAAAGCAGCAGGUUAAUACCCCGCUGUUCUGACGGUACCCAAAGAAUAAGCACCGGCUAACUUCGU